This 2305-nucleotide long non-coding RNA is filed under the name Ooceraea biroi (clonal raider ant). Its description in RNAcentral is "uncharacterized LOC105280237". Lineage: Eukaryota; Metazoa; Arthropoda; Insecta; Hymenoptera; Formicidae. The record is from RNAcentral.
GCUUCUUUGAAAGCUCAUUGAGGAAGGAAGAAGAGAGAGAGAGAGGAAGACAGACGAGAAGCACACACGAGGGUAUAACUGUGCCGAUCCUGUCGCUCUCGAUCCGUCAGGAUGUGGGCUUCGCCUAUCGCGUAAUCGCGUGCCCUUGACACGUACGCUGGCAGUUGAUGCGUUUAAGUUUGCAAUAGCAUACGAAAAAAGUCUUUUGUGCAGCUAAAUUGAUCAAAAAUAGUAUUUGUUAUAUAAAUUAUAAUUAAACUGUGUGCGCAAGUGUUUGAGUUGAGACUAAUAUAGAGGUUUAGUGAUCCAUGAGUUUAGAUGAAUUUUUCAGUAAAUGUAUGCAAUAUCCACGAUUGAAAACAAUUUAAUUUAUAUAGCAAUUCUUUCGACGCAUCGGAAAAGUUGGCGCAAAAUUUCAUCCUUUGGACAUCUUUUGUGGCAUCGUGUUGAUGUCACGUUGUCUGAAUUUGUAAUUUUUUAUUUACAAUUGGGAUGCGCUUUUGCAUUCUCGAUUUAUUCGAUGCUAAUUCUACUCUUGCACAUCUCCUUCAAUUAAUUAUCAUAAUGGAAGAUACACAUUGUCGAAUGCGAUAGCGAUAGAGAGAAACGUGUCACAUGAUGAUGAAGAACCACCCGCAGGUGCCAUGCGUCCGGUAUCUGCGUCGCACGUGCGACGUUAUGCGUAUGGUGAGGUAAUGGUGCGUAGACGCACGUAAAUGCGUGCACAGUACCAUUCAUGCAGACUCGUGGCGAACCUGAUUUAACAGAAAUUAUAUCUCACAGUCAAUUUUCUAUGAAGCUUAUGGGAAUCAUCGUCGCAAGAUUUGACGAACGCAUUUUUGACAGAUCUCCAAUUCAUCUGAAACUCGACAUUGAUGACAUCCGCUUUUUCCGUUGCAAUGAAAAAUAUUUGAUUCGUCAAGGAUGUAAAAUGAGCAUGGCCAAAUGAAUAAAAAUAAUCAAAUAAAAUUAAAAUCAAGUUACGAUAUCAUCAACAAUCAAGGCGACCAAACCACAGACUCUUUGUAAGUUUGAACGUAUCUCCUAAAUGCGUAAAUAAAAAUCAGUGGGAUCAUUUGCAUACUGUACUUAAAGCAGACUCAUCUACGUUAGCGAAUCUAUGAACGAUACCGUGUGUCAGUGAACUGUCCAAAUCGGUUUUGGAGUCUCUCUUUCUCUUCACUUUCAUUUUCGCUGUCGAAUAAAGAGACGUUUUUACGAGGCGCGCUUAAUGGCUCAAAGAUGAAAAGUCGUUCCCGCGUGGGCGUGACGAGACGCGAUCUGUUGCGUUACAAAUAUCCCACGUAAUAUGCAUUAAGUCAAUAGAUUACUGUAAUACAGAACAAUAGAGGUACAUACGUACAUACGAAUCUUCGAGAGCGACGAAUUUGGAAUAAAGAAGAGAUUUGGAAUAAAUAUAUUGAAUAUAUUGAAACCGAAAGAUAGAACGCGUUUGUCAUUCUUGUUUUCACCAUUGACGUAAAUGACGUUAUUAUACAAAAAUAAAAUCGAAAUUUAGAAAAAAAACAAUUAAUCACGAGAAGUCAAACAUCAUAAAUCUCCUUAUAUUUUAAAAGUUUAUUUAAUUUGAUGAUAAUUAAAUUAUAAUUACAAAAAUUAAUUAAUCUAAUUUUUUGUAAUAUCUCUUGCCGAAAAUAAAUGAUACCUAUGCACGGUGGCGUGUUUUUAUCACUGCGUUAUCAGCGGUUAUCAACGUUUACCUGCAACGAGGAUAAACAUCGCGCUCGCCGAGAGAAGGCUCCCGGUUCUCUUGUUCGAGCGCAAUGGCAAAGAUAGUAAUUAAGUGACAUUAAUUGGGUCGUUACGCGAUGGCAAAGUGACUCUGCUGUAAAUAACUUCCGCAAUUAGCGUUAUGCCCUCCUCAUCGUCGUUGUACUAUUCGCGCCGUGCAUUGCGUUCCCGCGCGCGUUAUCCCGACAGAAAUAAUUACAUGUGUGGUGCUUAUGCACGUAACUCGCGAUGAAUUCCUCAUGUAUGCGCACGUUACACGCUACGUUGCGUGCGUUAGUCGCUCUUCAGUAUGGUGAUUGCGAUGGCGCUUAAUGAAAACAGUUGUAAAAUAUCAAGAUGAUAAAAAGGAUAUUUAUAUAUGAUUCGAAAUCUAAAUACACGUGCUUUAUUUUAUUUUAUCAAGUAGAAAUGUUAAAUGAACGAAUGAACAUAUGUAUACAUAUAAUGAGAAAGCUUGUGAAUUCGUGUAUGAUGUAAAUUUUCGGGAAUUAAGUCCAAGCAUAUAAUAAGAUACAUUGUAUUUUGAUUAUCUAAUAAAGUUUUUGAUCGUCUA